UGCAGUGAGCAUUCAAAUUUAUAUAGUCUGUACCUCAUUGUUGUGGGCAGGUUGUGAGUGCGCAGCCGCUGUGUACAAUUCUCUGCUGAUGUCUGCAGCUACACUCUCCAAAGGAGAACCUUAAGGUAGUUCUGGGCUCAAAUAAACCCAGAUGUUUAAUUUUCUUUUACUUAAAUUCAUUGCUGUCCCAAGCAUAAUGAUAAAGACCCAGAUCAGUUGAUUAUUUUGCAGGACACAUUAACAUACAGUGAAGAAAAUGAGUAUUUGAACACCCUGCAACUUUGCAAGGUCUUCCACUUAGAAAUCACGGAAGGGUCUGAAAUUUUCAUCUUAGGUUCACUGUGUGAGACAAUCUAAAAAUAAAAAAAUCCAAAAAUCACUGCUUAUGAUUUUUCUAAUAAUUUAUUUCUGUGUUACUGCUGCAAAUAAGUAUUUGAACACUUGUUAAUCAGCAAAAAUCCUGGCCCUCAAAGACCUGUUGUUUCGCCUCCAAAAAGUCCACCUCCACUCCACUUAUUAUUCAAAAUUAGAAGCACCUGUUUGAGGUCGUUAGCUGCAUAAAGACUCCUGUCCACUCCACACAAUCAGUAAGACUCCAACUACUAACAUGGCUAAGACCAAAGAGCUGUCCAAAGACACCGAGACAAAAUUGUAGAACUCCACAAGGCUGGAAAGGGCUACGGGGCAAUUGCCAAGCAGCUUGAUGAAAAAAUAUUGACUGUCGGAGCAAUUAUUAGAGAAUGGAAGAAAUUAAAUACGAUUGUCAGUCUCACUUUGACUGGGGCUCCAUGCAAGAUGUCACCUUGUGAUGUAUCAAUGAUCCUAAGAAAGGGAAGGAAGUUGUUCCCCAAUGUAGGAGCUAUUUCUUUAUUUUCAGUUAAAUCUUAUAAUUUAUUUUUAUUUGCUUAUUUUCUUGAUAACUAGAAUU
Long non-coding RNA from Xiphophorus hellerii (green swordtail), 928 nucleotides. RefSeq lists it as uncharacterized. The transcript has 2 exons. Lineage: Eukaryota; Metazoa; Chordata; Actinopteri; Cyprinodontiformes; Poeciliidae. The record is from RefSeq and is a predicted model, not a curated record.